This is a long non-coding RNA of Eleginops maclovinus (Patagonian blennie), 2709 nucleotides long. RefSeq lists it as uncharacterized. NCBI's taxonomy places the organism in Eukaryota, Metazoa, Chordata, Actinopteri, Perciformes, Eleginopidae. The transcript has 4 exons. The record is from RefSeq and is a predicted model, not a curated record.
UCAUUUUUCAGUUGUUCAGGGUGAAGGUCACAUGUCAGCUCAGCUCCUCUGAACAUUACCGUUCCGUUUUGGUGUGGCAUGGCCAUUUCACCUUCUUUUCAAUAAACCUCGCUAACUACAAGACCUGCCUCUUCCUUGGGGGAUUUGUUGAAGAGAUUGACAAAGAUGUCAUUCCCUGCAUGGAAGAUGGAGACCUGGCAAAAUACAUUUCCUCAUUUGGGGAUCGUCUGGCAUUGAAGAGUUUCUGCAGAAAUGGGACAACACAAAAAACCAAAAUGGGUCUUUUUGAAAAGCUUAGGGUCAAGCUUGAGAAGCGAAAUAAUGCUGAGGAAAACCAAACACAAGAUGCAGAGCCAGCUGAUUCAUCAGCAGGUUCUUCAAACAAGAGGCGGAACGCAACCCAUCGAAAGAUUGAAAUUGGAUGGUUGCACUGUGAGGGAGAACAAAGGAAACAAAUACGAGGUUAACAGGGAGGAGGGACAAGAAUGGUACCUAUUGGAAUAGAAUGUGGAAUGGAUGAGGUCCUUCAAAAAGGAAAGAGGCUCUUCUUUCCAGAUGGAUUGUCAUCAAAAGGACAUGAAUCUGAGUUCAACUUUGAAUUGAGGGACUACAAACAGAACCCUGUCCAUGAGGAUGUAACCGUUGGAUUUAUCUAUGAUACUUUGUGCAUGGAGAUUUUAUGUUGCUACUUCCCCCAAGGAGUUGAAGGAUGAUAGUGCCACAGAUGGUGAAAAAUCAAAAGGCGGUGUAAUAACAAUAGAUGAGGAUGAGGAGGAUGAUCACCAGGACUCACAUGAUGCUUCACAACAGGAUGAUCUUCAGUGCGAUUCAGAGCAGAAUAAAAGUGAAAGAGUACAAGAGGAAGAGGAUGGUGCUACAAUCACUGGCAUACGAUAUGGCACACUGUUUGAAUGUGACCUGGUAACUGACAUUGAAUUAGAAGUAACCUUUGGUCCGGGUUGUCGUGAAAUUGAAGCUGACGCUGACGAUGACACAGAACCAUUUGAUUUUGGGUUUCAGCCCCAACUCCAACUGCAGCCACUCAUAACCUCGGAUGUUUCCUCGUCAUUGCAUUCUGCCUCCUCACUUCAGCAAGUCAUGGACCCACCACCUGAGCAACUGCUCUCCACACCAACAGUAUCCAAUGAUGCAUCUCCAGCACAACUACCUGGCUCCACAUCACAGGCCAGUCUCGCCCAAAUAAUAACCAUACACCACGGUAAUUGCCUAAAUGAGUUGAUUAAAGAGUUCAUGGAUCCUACUUUGCUCACACGCCCAUUAAUUAUGAGGAGAAUGCUUCCAGAUAACAGUGUAGAAAAGGGGAUUGGCGAAGGUGUUGUCAGAGAUAUUUACUGUUCUUUUUGGCAAGAAUUUUAUGAUCGCUGUACUGUUGGAGCAGCAGUCAGUUCCAUUCAUUAGGCAUGACUUUAGCUGUGAAACCUGGGAGGCCAUUGCCAGAAUUUUGCUUUCAGGUUUACAAACAUGUCAGUAUUUACCGAUAAAAUUAGCUCUUCCUCUGAUGGAGGACCUCUUUCAUGGAUCUGUGUGCAGCAACCUCCUAGAAAGCUUCCUUCAGUAUGUGAGUAUUCAGGACCAGGACAUUCUCAAAAAGGCGCUUGAGGAUUUCUCAUCAGUUGAUCCCAGUGAGCUCACGGAAGUCCUUCAGAACUACGAGUGCGGAAAGAUGAUCAAAGCGGAAACGCUUCCACAGAUCCUGAAGGAGAUUGCACAUAAAGAACUAGUACAAAAACCUAGGUAUGUAAUUGAUUGUUGGAAGCAGGUGAUGCAUGGAAAGGUCAACAUUGCUCAUGAGGACCUACUGGCACGCUAUCAGGCACUCAGACUCAAUCCAAGACGAGUUCAAGGUCUACUUGACUUCCAAGAGGUCAUGACCUCAAAACAGCGAGAGGUGGAAAACCACUUGAGAAGAUAUCUUAGAGAGUUAGACGAGGACCAUCUCGGAAAAUUCCUGCGUUUCACAACUGGUAGUGAUAUAAUGACUUGUACCAAAAUCCAGGUUGUCUUUACAAAUAUGUCAGACUUCUCCAGGAGGCCUAUUGGCCACACGUGGAUUUGUGCUGGAGGUGUCAGAUAGUUACGAUAACUUCCCAGAUUUUAGAUCAGAAUUCAAUGCUGUUUUGGACAGCAACAUCUGGGUUAUGGACAUUGUCUAGGCGUCUGAUGUUUUGCCCUGUCACAUGCAUGUUGCUCAGGGAUGUUUUUACAGGGCUUUGAAAACGCUGCUACCUGAAACGUUAAUUCUGUAACAGAUAUGUUUAUGUUCUCUAGCACUUCAGCUGUUUGCUUUAUACAGCCAACUGUAUAAUUGCACUCAUGCUUUAUACAGUUUAGGCUAUGUGUUUGAGUCUGACUGAGGUUUGUAUGUUUUGGCUUGUCACAUGCAUAUUGGUCAUAAAUGUUUCUACAUGCAUUUGAAAGUUUACUCCUCUUGAAAUAUUGAUCUAUACUUUUAUGUAUACUGUUCUCUAGCACUACAUAACUUUUGUUGUAUGCAUUUUUUUGUAUUUUUGUAAAGCUGUCAUGUUUUAUAUGGUGUAGGCCUAUGUGCUGUUUGAACACAAUAGGCCUAUGUGCUGUUUGAACACAAUAGGCCUAUGUGCUGUUUGUUGGAACUUGAGCUGCUCAGUGUACUUGAGUACAUUGAAAACAAUAAGUAAAAUGAGUUUUAAGUAAACGCUUUCGAAACCA